RNAcentral lists this ribosomal RNA (254 nucleotides) under uncultured bacterium. RNAcentral describes it as "partial 16S ribosomal RNA". It matches the Rfam family "Bacterial small subunit ribosomal RNA", at positions 524 to 776 of the family's 1533-position model. The record is from RNAcentral.
UACAGGGGGGGCAAGCGUUGUUCGGAAUUAUUGGGCGUAAAGAGCUCGUAGGCGGCUCAGUAAGUCAGGUGUGAAACCUCCAGGCUCAACCUGGAGACGCCACCUGAUACUGCUGUGGCUAGAGUCCGGUAGGGGAGCGUGGAAUUCCUGGUGUAGCGGUGAAAUGCGCAGAUAUCAGGAGGAACACCAGCGGCGAAGGCGGCGCUCUGGGCCGGAACUGACGCUGAGGAGCGAAAGCGUGGGUAGCAAACAGG